Molecule: ribosomal RNA, 200 nt
Filed under: uncultured bacterium
Lineage: Bacteria
Description: partial 16S ribosomal RNA
Rfam family: Bacterial small subunit ribosomal RNA
Source: RNAcentral
AUUGAACGCUGGCGGCAGGCCUAACACAUGCAAGUCGAGCGGUUGAGGUAGCUUGCUACCGAUGCAGCGGCGGACGGGUGAGUAAUACAUGGGAAUCUGCCUGGUAGUGGGGGACAACGUUUCGAAAGGAACGCUAAUACCGCAUACGCCCUACGGGGGAAAGGGGGGGAGUCGCAAGACCUCUCGCUAUCAGAUGAGCC